AGAAGAACUCUUCCAAGAGAAAGCGACUCCUCCUUCACCCUACAUGCGCGGGCCAUUCAAUUGGCAUUUAUGCAUUAUUUCCUAUUACAGAUAAAUCUGAAACAUGCCAUGUGUAAUCUUACUUGAAUUUGAAUUCAAAUGGCAGGAUUACUAGAUAUGGGAUGCUCCCUUCUACCCAUGGCAGAAGGACUCUUUACGCGAUGAGCCAUGUAAUUUCUUUCCCUCAUGCACGUGCCUUCAAUCUCAGAUAAAUCUCCAUGCCAAAUUCAAAACCUAAAAUUGACAUUUCAAUCUUUGAGAU
RNAcentral lists this long non-coding RNA (301 nucleotides) under Elaeis guineensis (African oil palm). Its description in RNAcentral is "long non-coding RNA (EGUI_LNC080025)". Lineage: Eukaryota; Viridiplantae; Streptophyta; Magnoliopsida; Arecales; Arecaceae. The record is from RNAcentral.